RNAcentral lists this small RNA (64 nucleotides) under Enterobacter asburiae. Its description in RNAcentral is "Salmonella enterica sRNA STnc40". It matches the Rfam family "Salmonella enterica sRNA STnc40". The record is from RNAcentral. Lineage: Bacteria; Pseudomonadati; Pseudomonadota; Gammaproteobacteria; Enterobacterales; Enterobacteriaceae.
GUGCCACGGCCGUCUGAGCUGAGUUCAUAAAAAACAAAAAGGCGCAGAUAUCUGCGCCUUUUUU